RNAcentral lists this ribosomal RNA (930 nucleotides) under uncultured bacterium. Its description in RNAcentral is "bacterial SSU rRNA". It matches the Rfam family "Bacterial small subunit ribosomal RNA", at positions 508 to 1439 of the family's 1533-position model. The record is from RNAcentral.
CCAGCAGCCGCGNUAAUACGUAGGUCCCGAGCGUUNUCCGGAUUUAUUGGGCGUAAAGGGAGCGCAGGCGNUCAGGAAAGUCUGGAGUAAAAGGCUAUGGCUCAACCAUAGUGUGCUCUGGAAACUGUCUGACUUGAGUGCAGAAGGGGAGAGUGGAAUUCCAUGUGUAGCGGUGAAAUGCGUAGAUAUAUGGAGGAACACCAGUGGCGAAAGCGGCUCUCUGNUCUGUCACUGACGCUGAGGCUCGAAAGCGUGGGUAGCGAACAGGAUUAGAUACCCUGGUAGUNCACGCCGUAAACGAUGAGUGCUAGGUGUUAGGCCCUUUCCGGGGCUUAGUGCCGGAGCUAACGCAAUAAGCACUCCGCCUGGGGAGUACGACCGCAAGGUUGAAACUCAAAGGAAUUGACGGGGGCCCGCACAAGCGGUGGAGCAUGUGGUUUAAUUCGAAGCAACGCGAAGAACCUUACCAGGUCUUGACAUCCCGAUGCUAUUCUUAGAGAUAGGAAGUUACUUCGGUACAUCGGAGACAGGUGGUGCAUGGUUGUCGUCAGCUCGUGUCGUGAGAUGUUGGGUUAAGUCCCGCAACGAGCGCAACCCUUAUUGUUAGUUGCCAUCAUUAAGUUGGGCACUCUAGCGAGACUGCCGGUAAUAAACCGGAGGAAGGUGGGGAUGACGUCAAAUCAUCAUGCCCCUUAUGACCUGGGCUACACACGUGCUACAAUGGUCGGUACAACGAGUUGCGAGCCGGUGACGGCAAGCUAAUCUCUGAAAGCCGAUCUCAGUUCGGAUUGGAGGCUGCAACUCGCCUCCAUGAAGUCGGAAUCGCUAGUAAUCGCGGAUCAGCACGCCGCGGUGAAUACGUUCCCGGGCCUUGUACACACCGCCCGUCACACCACGAGAGUUUGUAACACCCGAAGUCGGUGAGGUAAC